UAAAUCUCCCCAACUGUUUUCUUCAUUACAGAUCAAAUCUGAGCCUUCCAGCAUUCAUCUGUACAGCAGUCAAUGUGGACACUGGGAAUACCUCGCCACUAUGACCAGAGAAACGGGUUACAGAGGAGGGCUUCCAGGCUCGCUUCCCAGAACGGUGAAUCAGGGAGAAAGAUGAGCCAUGCACUGUGCAGGCCAGAUAAGGACACGCCCCCUCCACAAGAGAAUUGAAAAGACAAGCACAGCAAACACCAGAGAUCUCAGUGCAAGUGAUCAGCAUCUGGAAGACCCCAAAAGCUACAGCUCCAGGCAAUCCUGUAAUUUCGUAUUACGCAGACUACAACCUGAUGCAGUACUGCAGAGGAGCUUAUGAUCGGGAGCUUUGGCACAGACUCAGGAGGGUCAGCUGCAGAUAGUAAUGCACUAUACAGAUAAAGUCUGAUAACUCCAAUUAGCACUUAGAUGCUCUCUUCAGAGACUGGUGAUGCUGAUAAGCUAAAUUUACAGCGUGAUGUUUACCUGUUCCUUGUGGACCAAUACCAACGUCACUAAAGAGGACCAUGUUAUUUGGAAAGUAGUAAAAACUCAUCACAGACUGGCUUUUUUAAGUAG
Molecule: long non-coding RNA, 609 nt
Organism: Hyla sarda
Lineage: Eukaryota; Metazoa; Chordata; Amphibia; Anura; Hylidae
Exons: 5
Source: RefSeq, a predicted model, not a curated record